GACGAACGCUUGCGGCGUGCUUAACACAUGCAAGUCUAACGGAAAGGCCCUGCUUUUGUGGGGUGCUCGAGUGGCGAACGGAUGAGUAACACGUGAGUAACCUGCCCUUGACUUUGGGAUAACUUCAGGAACCUGGGGCUAAUUCCGGAUAGGAGCUCCUGCUGCAUGGUGGGGGUUGGAAAGUUUCGGCGGUUGGGGAUGGACUCGCGGCUUAUCAGCUUGUUGGUGGGGUAGUGGCUUACCAAGGCUUUGACGUGUAGCCGGCCUGAGAGGGUGACCGGCCACAUUGGGACUGAGAUACGGCCCAGACUCCUACGGGAGGCAGCAGUGGGGAAUAUUGCACAAUGGGCGGAAGCCUGAUGCAGCAACGCCGCGUGCGGGAUGACGGCCUUCGGGUUGUAAACCGCUUUCGCCUGUGACGAAGCGUGAGUGACGGUAAUGGGUAAAGAAGGACCGGCUAACUACGUG
Molecule: ribosomal RNA, 468 nt
Filed under: uncultured bacterium
Lineage: Bacteria
Description: partial 16S ribosomal RNA
Rfam family: Bacterial small subunit ribosomal RNA
Source: RNAcentral